Molecule: transfer RNA, 55 nt
Filed under: Siboglinum fiordicum
Lineage: Eukaryota; Metazoa; Annelida; Polychaeta; Sabellida; Siboglinidae
Description: tRNA-Arg
Source: RNAcentral
ACAAAAACUAACACUGAUUUCGGCUCAGUUUUCGAUAUCCCUUUAUCUUUUUGUU